AUGAAAGAAAAGCUGGGAAUACAUUUUAGUGUGUUGUGGAGCAGAGUCCGUUCAGUUUUGUUCUCCUGCAUCUCCGCCUGGGCUAUCUGGAAGCAUCGUAACGCGGCCGUCUUUGAUGGCUUAUGACCCUCCAUCGACGACCUCGUCCUCUCGAUCAAGGAUGAUGCUCGCCUAUGGGCCAAGGCGGGCGCCAAGGGAUUAGCUUGGCCACCGUUUUACCUGUAA
This 225-nucleotide ribosomal RNA is filed under the name Triticum aestivum (bread wheat). Its description in RNAcentral is "partial small subunit ribosomal RNA". The record is from RNAcentral. Lineage: Eukaryota; Viridiplantae; Streptophyta; Magnoliopsida; Poales; Poaceae.